Molecule: unclassified non-coding RNA, 200 nt
Filed under: Hevea brasiliensis (rubber tree)
Lineage: Eukaryota; Viridiplantae; Streptophyta; Magnoliopsida; Malpighiales; Euphorbiaceae
Source: RNAcentral
AAGGAUUGUAGAAAAUAAUAAUAUUUUGAUGGUCAUGUUAGGAAGGAAGUACAGGGAGAAUCAUCUAUGGUGAAUAUCCUAGUGGUAACCAAUCGCUGAGUUAAAAUUCUGAAAGUAACAGAGUUAGUAAUCAAGUUGAGAAUAAAAAGUAUAAAGGGUACAAUUAAUGCUAAUGGGAUGAAUAUCGUCAAGAGAAAGGC